UACGUAGGUGGCAAGCGUUGUCCGGAUUUACUGGGCGUAAAGGAUGCGUAGGCGGACAUUUUAAGUCAGAUGUGAAAUACCCGAGCUUAACUUGGGUGCUGCAUUUGAAACUGGGUGUCUAGAGUGCAGGAGAGGUAAGUGGAAUUCCUAGUGUAGCGGUGAAAUGCGUAGAGAUUAGGAAGAACACCAGUGGCGAAGGCGACUUACUGGACUGUAACUGACGCUGAGGCAUGAAAGCGUGGGUAGCAAACAGG
Molecule: ribosomal RNA, 254 nt
Filed under: uncultured bacterium
Lineage: Bacteria
Description: partial 16S ribosomal RNA
Rfam family: Bacterial small subunit ribosomal RNA
Source: RNAcentral